UAGUUAUGCAUCAUAGAAACUCAGUGAAGAUGAAUGACAACCUGCUGAGAGCUGAUGGUACCGGGGUGAAUUGAUAAGGAUACUUUGAAAAUUCUAUGCCUUUUAUGAUUUGUGAAAAUCAUAAUGAAUGGUAAAAGCCAAAAGAAUAAGUCAGUUUGCCAAGCUUUAGUGCAUAUAAAAGUAAUAGCCUUGUGGUGGCUGCAAUAGACGACUCAGUGAGGAAUAAUCCAACGGGGUAUAAGUGUGGUAGCUUAUAUGACAUUGGAAAUACCAAACAAAGCCAUUUGUCUUGAAACAGAGAAAUCUGCGUAUAACACAAGAACUAUGUUAAAGUAGCCUUAUGACAAAGCAGACGAGAUUUAUACUUCUGAAAGUUAGGUGAAAUUUAUGAGUAAUCAUUCUCAUGUAGGGCAUGGUACUUUGUACUGGGGUAAGAAGCUUAGGGUCGCUCCCGACAGCUCAGACUUAUCUCCCUAGUGACCGAAUAUAUAUGAAACUAUUGCGAGGUACAGUGAAAACUGUCUAUGAUGUAUAAUUA
This 538-nucleotide small RNA is filed under the name uncultured Romboutsia sp. RNAcentral's name for it is "ROOL RNA". It matches the Rfam family "ROOL RNA". From Rfam's summary of the family: Firmicutes, Fusobacteria (1 example), Tenericutes (1 example). Environment (Cow rumen (57)) Lineage: Bacteria; Bacillati; Bacillota; Clostridia; Peptostreptococcales; Peptostreptococcaceae. The record is from RNAcentral.